Molecule: ribosomal RNA, 305 nt
Filed under: uncultured bacterium
Lineage: Bacteria
Description: bacterial SSU rRNA
Rfam family: Bacterial small subunit ribosomal RNA
Source: RNAcentral
UUCCUACGGGACGCAGCAGUGGGGAAUAUUGCACAAUGGGGGAAACCCUGAUGCAGCGACGCCGCGUGAAGGAAGAAGGGUUUCGGCUCGUAAACUUCUAUUAACAGGGACGAAAGAAAUGACGGUACCUGAAUAAGAAGCCCCGGCUAACUACGUGCCAGCAGCCGCGGUAAUACGUAGGGGGCAAGCGUUAUCCGGAAUUACUGGGUGUAAAGGGUGAGUAGGCGGCAUGGUAAGCCAGAUGUGAAAGCCUUGGGCUUAACCCGAGGAUUGCAUUUGGAACUAUCAAGCUAGAGGACAGGAGG